This 253-nucleotide ribosomal RNA is filed under the name uncultured bacterium. RNAcentral's name for it is "partial 16S ribosomal RNA". It matches the Rfam family "Bacterial small subunit ribosomal RNA", at positions 524 to 776 of the family's 1533-position model. The record is from RNAcentral.
UACGAAGGGGGCUAGCGUUGUUCGGAAUCACUGGGCGUAAAGAGCGCGCAGGCGGUCGUUCAAGUCGCGUGUGAAAGCCCCCGGCUCAACUGGGGAGGGUCACGCGAUACUGAUCGACUCGAAGGCAGGAGAGGGAAGUGGAAUUCCCGGUGUAGUGGUGAAAUGCGUAGAUAUCGGGAGGAACACCAGUGGCGAAGGCGGCCAUCUGGACGGCUAUUGACGCUGAGACGCGAAAGCAUGGGGAGCAAACAGG